This 1565-nucleotide long non-coding RNA is filed under the name Lucilia cuprina (Australian sheep blowfly). Its description in RNAcentral is "uncharacterized LOC124420567". The record is from RNAcentral. Lineage: Eukaryota; Metazoa; Arthropoda; Insecta; Diptera; Calliphoridae.
UGUUUAAAGUAUUUCUAACACAAAUAAAAUAUUUGUGUGCAUAACAUUUAUUCAAAAUGUUUUUAUUAAAGGAAACAAUUUUUAAAUUUAGAGAACUUUUUCAAUACCCUGUACAGUCAUUAGAUAUUGGAAUAGCAUAUAGCAGAAAACUGGAAAUUAGUGAAAUCCAAAAAACUUUUAAUAUAAAAGAUAUUUCAAAAUUUAUGUUGCUACCCUAUAAUGGGGGUGGUGUUCCAAUACCACUAUUAAAUUAAAUUUUAUUAUUUUCAGAAUUCAAAAUGAACAAAGACGUGCGACUCCCAAGAGCUAAUGAAGUUGAUACAAGUCAUUCAUAAUAAAAUUGAUGUUUUGUCUGGUAUACACUGUUUUAUUUUUUAUUAUAAAAAACAAUUUUUUUCAGAAAACAUUAACAAAAAUAAUAAUGAAAUUAUUAGCAACAAAACAACAAUACAAAAUGAAUUAAAAGAUAUUAAGAACCAAAACACAAUAAUAUUAGACGUUUUGGCAGAAAAUACCGCUGCGAUGAAGAGUUGCAUAAAGAAUAACAUCCCAAAAUAUACAAAGACUUUUCCGAGCAAUUUGUGGCCAACGUGGCAUUAAAGAAAGGAUGAGAGAGAUCAUAAAGCCCGAAGUUUUGGAUUUAUAUAAUUUAAAUAGAACUCACAACAAAUUGCGUCUUUUAAAUUUUCCAAAAUUUAUGCAUGUUUUAUUUGAUAGCUGGUACCUAUUGUGAAGGCAAUACCAAUAAAACAUCAUCAACAUCAAAUCGGACAUUAGAAAUUCUUUAAAAAUAGCAAAAAAAUCGGUAUUGCAAGGAAAAAAAUAAAUCUGCUGCAUCCAAAGAAAAUACAACUUCAACAGAAGACGAUUUCUUUGAAAAACACUAUAAUUUAUUAAUAAAUUCAUAAGAAAUACAAAAUUACCUAAAUUUACUUUGCAUUAUUUUUUGUUAAUUGCCUUUUUUGUUCUCAAACAUAUUAAGGGUUUUCAUUUAAACGUUCAAAACCCUCGUAAACUGUGCAACCUGUGCAUGUUUCCAUUCUAGCAAUUGACUUGUGUGGAAAUUGAUUUACACAACCCUUAUAAGUUUGAGCGACUAUUUAGACUGGCAAACUUGCGCAAACACAUUGUGCAUUUAAUAAAUCCGUCCGUUCACUUUUGAAUUUAUGGACUUGAAUAUUCACAUUUUAAACAUAGUUUGUAAAAUUUUUUGUUAAAAUAAUUUAUUUAUUAUUUUUUGAUUUUGUUUAACAUUUAGGGUUUUCAUUUAAACGUUCAAAACUCUCGUAAACUGUGCAAUCUGUGCAUGUUUCCAUCCCCGCAAUUGAAUUGUAUGAAAAUUGAUUUGCACAACCCUUAUAAGUUUGAGCGACUAUUUAGACUGGCAAACUUAAGCAAACUCAUAGUGCAUUUAAUAAAUCUGUUCACUUAUUGUUCACUUUCGAAUUUAUGGGCUUGGAUUUUCACAUUUUUAGCAUAUUUUGUACAUUUUUUUGUUAAAAUACUUUAUUUUUUAUUUUUCGAUUUCGUUUGACAUUGCUGUAAAAUGUUUAUAACAAUUGUAA